Molecule: unclassified non-coding RNA, 216 nt
Filed under: Hevea brasiliensis (rubber tree)
Lineage: Eukaryota; Viridiplantae; Streptophyta; Magnoliopsida; Malpighiales; Euphorbiaceae
Source: RNAcentral
AAAAGGGUAAAUUUCCUUUUUGAAAGGGGAAUGGUUUGUAAUGAAUAGAAAGAGCUUGUAAUGUAAUACACAACCAAAAAAGUAAAAGAUGAACACCCUUUGAUGGGACACCACUCAUUGUACUGUUGCUUAGGGCUUUUUUGUUUUUCUCAAGCUUGGUUGUUUCGUUCUUGGAGAUAUGGAAUUCAUGAAUUUAUCUCUAAUUGCUUUAUUAAG